RNAcentral lists this ribosomal RNA (884 nucleotides) under uncultured bacterium. Its description in RNAcentral is "bacterial SSU rRNA". It matches the Rfam family "Bacterial small subunit ribosomal RNA", at positions 154 to 1058 of the family's 1533-position model. The record is from RNAcentral.
AAACGGUUGCUAAAACCGCAUAAGCGCACAGCACCGCAUGGUGCAGUGUGAAAAACUCCGGUGGUACGGGAUGGACCCGCGUCUGAUUAGCCAGUUGGCAGGGUAACGGCCUACCAAAGCGACUAUCAGUAGCCGGGCUGAGAGGGUGAACGGCCACAUUGGGACUGAGACACGGCCCAAACUCCUACGGGAGGCAGCAGUGGGGAAUAUUGCACAAUGGGGGAAACCCUGAUGCAGCGACGCCGCGUGAGUGAAGAAGUAUUUCGGUAUGUAAAGCUCGAUCAGCAGGGAAGAAAAGAUUUUUUUUCUGACUAAGAAGCACCGGCUAAAUACGUGCCAGCAGCCGCGGUAAUACGUAUGGUGCAAGCGUUAUCCGGAUUUACUGGGUGUAAAGGGUGCGUAGGUGGCAUGGCAAGUCAGAAGUGAAAGGGCGGGGCUCAACCCCGGGACUGCUUUUGAAACUGUCAGGCUGGAGUGCAUGAGAGGAAAGCGGAAUUCCUAGUGUAGCGGUGAAAUGCGUAUAUAUUAGGAGGAACACCAGUGGCGAAGGCGGCUUUCCAGACUGUAACUGACACUGAUGCUACAAAGCAUGGGUAGCGAACAGGAUUAGAUACACUGGUAGUCCAUGCCGUAAACGAUGAGAGCUAAGUGGUGGGAGGUUUCCGCCUCUCAGUGCCGCAGCUAACGCAUUAUACACUCCGCCUGGGGAGUACUGACCGCGAGGUUGAGACUCACAGGAAUUGACCGGCGCCCGCACAGGCGCUGGAGCAUGUGGUUCAAUGCGAAGCAACGCGAAGAACCUGACCACGUCUUGACAUCUACUGCAUCCUAGAGAUUAGAGUUCCCUUCCGGGACGCUAGACAGGUGUGCAUGACUGUCGUCAG